GGCAGUUCUCAGGUGAUGCACCCCGGAAUUGGGCUCCCUCUCUGGUUCCGAGUGCGUCACCUGAGAACCACA
Molecule: non-coding RNA, 72 nt
Organism: Myotis lucifugus (little brown bat)
Lineage: Eukaryota; Metazoa; Chordata; Mammalia; Chiroptera; Vespertilionidae
Source: Rfam